UUUAAGUGCAGUUAUAGGUUUUUGUGUCCAACGUUUGACUGUCCAUCUUAUUUGAAAUUUUUUUACGAUUAGUAUUUUUAUUGUUAUCAGAUGAUAAAAUAUGAAUAGUAUUUUAUGUGUAACUUAUUUUUCUAAUUGUUUAAAUAAGACAGAUAGUCAAACAUUGAACCCAGAAACUCAUAACUGCACUUAAA
Oryza meridionalis is the source of this 194-nucleotide non-coding RNA. Lineage: Eukaryota; Viridiplantae; Streptophyta; Magnoliopsida; Poales; Poaceae. The record is from Rfam.